This 28-nucleotide non-coding RNA is filed under the name Mus musculus (house mouse). The record is from RNAcentral. Lineage: Eukaryota; Metazoa; Chordata; Mammalia; Rodentia; Muridae.
UCCAGAUAACCUGAUUUGCAUCUUCUCC